UGCCCAGCAACUUCUAUCCCUACCUCCUCGCGGUACUGGCCGGGGUACGAGUAACCUUGGGGAAGAUCGGGUAACCAACCCCGGUAGGAACUUUGGUCGUAUACUGACAGAGAAGG
RNAcentral lists this ribozyme (116 nucleotides) under Aedes aegypti (yellow fever mosquito). RNAcentral's name for it is "drz-agam-1 ribozyme". It matches the Rfam family "drz-agam-1 ribozyme". Lineage: Eukaryota; Metazoa; Arthropoda; Insecta; Diptera; Culicidae. The record is from Rfam by way of RNAcentral.